This is a small nuclear RNA of Panthera leo (lion), 101 nucleotides long. The record is from Ensembl. Lineage: Eukaryota; Metazoa; Chordata; Mammalia; Carnivora; Felidae.
GUGCUCGCUUUCAGAGCACAAUUCCUAAAAUUGGAACGCACAAAGAUUGCAUGCCCCUGCGCAAGUUUCAUACGCAAACUCCUAAAGCAUUCCAUAUUUUU